Molecule: long non-coding RNA, 555 nt
Organism: Macadamia integrifolia
Lineage: Eukaryota; Viridiplantae; Streptophyta; Magnoliopsida; Proteales; Proteaceae
Exons: 3
Source: RefSeq, a predicted model, not a curated record
UACCAGAGCUAAGUUUCUCAAGGUAUAGCAAGUACAAGAGAACUAAUUCCUCUCCUCAUACUGCAAUUCUAUUUUCUGAUCUAUUCUCUUCGGUUUCUUUCAUUUACUCAAUCACCAUGUCGACCUGUGACAACUGUGACUGUGCUGACAAGAGCCAGUGUGUGAAGAAGGGAAACAGCUAUGGCAUCGAAAUCGUCGAGACCCAGAAGAGCUACUACGAAGAUGCUGUGAUUGAGGUCGCGGCAGCGGAGAACGACGGUAAGUGCAAGUGCGGAGAUAGCUGUGCUUGCACUGACUGCACUUGUGGGCAUUAAAGAUUAAUAAACAGUGACAGUAGUUUGGGAGAACAUAAGAAUGUAAUAGGUGUGGUAUCAGAAUAAGCUGUGUCGUCCUUCUUCUUCUUCUUCUUCUUCUUCUUCUUCUUCUUAUCUGUUUGUGUGCUAAUGUUUGGGUGGCAGCCAUGGCUGAACUUCAUACAUAGUAACCGUGUAACGUAUUUAUCUUUGUUGUUCUUUGUUUCUCUUGUUUAAUGGUAAUUGGGUAUUGUUAUUAGUA